UGGGGAAUAUUGCACAAUGGGCGCAAGCCUGAUGCAGCCAUGCCGCGUAUAUGAAGAAGGCCUUCGGGUUGUAAAGUACUUUCAGCGGGGAGGAAGGCGAUAAGGUUAAUAACCUUGUCGAUUGACGUUACCAGCAGAAGAAGCACCGGCUAACUCCGUGCCAGCAGCCGCGGUAAUACGGAGGGUGCAAGCGUUAAUCGGAAUUACUGGGCGUAAAGCGCACGCAGGCGGUCUGUCAAGUCGGAUGUGAAAUCCCCGGGCUCAACCUGGGAACUGCAUUCGAAACUGGCAGGCUAGAGUCUUGUAGAGGGGGGUAGAAUUCCAGGUGUAGCGGUGAAAUGCGUAGAGAUCUGGAGGAAUACCGGUGGCGAAGGCGGCCCUCUGGACGAAGACUGACGCUCAGGUGCGAAAGCGUGGGGAGCAAACA
RNAcentral lists this ribosomal RNA (427 nucleotides) under uncultured bacterium. RNAcentral describes it as "partial 16S ribosomal RNA". It matches the Rfam family "Bacterial small subunit ribosomal RNA", at positions 355 to 774 of the family's 1533-position model. The record is from RNAcentral.